This 252-nucleotide ribosomal RNA is filed under the name uncultured bacterium. Its description in RNAcentral is "partial 16S ribosomal RNA". It matches the Rfam family "Bacterial small subunit ribosomal RNA", at positions 524 to 776 of the family's 1533-position model. The record is from RNAcentral.
UACGUAGGUCCCGAGCGUUGUCCGGAUUUAUUGGGCGUAAAGCGAGCGCAGGUGGUUUAUUAAGUCUGGUGUAAAAGGCAGUGGCUCAACCAUUGUAUGCAUUGGAAACUAGUAGACUUGAGUGCAGGAGAGGAGGGUGGAAUUCCAUGUGUAGCGGUGAAAUGCGUAGAUAUAUGGAGGAACACCGGUGGCGAAAGCGGCUCUCUGGCCUGUAACUGACACUGAGGCUCGAAAGCGUGGGGAGCAAACAGG